UAAUAAAAAUGUUUAUAGUUUAGAAAAUUUAUUUUAAAUUUAUUUUACAUAUAAAUUUUAGUAUUUAAAUUAUUUAAAUAAUAAAUUAAAUUUUAUGUAGUAAUUAAUAUUAAAUAUUUAAGAAAUUAAGAAUUAGUAAUAUAAAAAUUAAUAACAAAUUUUGUGCCAGCAGUUGCGGUUAUACAAAAGUUAAAUUAAAUUUUAUUAGUUAAUUAAUUAAUAAAUUAAUUUAAUUAAAAAUUUAAAUUAUUAGGUGAAAUUUUAAUUUAAUAAAAAGUUAAUAUUAAUUUUAUGAUUUAAUAAAUUUUUUUUAAAAACUAGGAUUAGAUACCCUAUUAUUAAAUUUUAAAUUUUAAAAUACUAAAAUAGUAAGUAAUUAUUUAUUGAAACUUAAAUAAUUUGGCGGUAUUUUAGUUCAUUUAGAGGAAUCUGUUUAAUAAUUGAUAGUCCACGAAUAAAUUUACUUAAUUUAAAAUUUUGUAUAUCGUUGUUAAAAAAAUAUUUUUUAAUAAUAAUUAAUAUUUAAAAAUUAAUAUUAAAAUUAAAUCAGAUCAAGAUGCAGAUUAUAAUUAAGAAUAUAAUGGAUUACAAUAAUUUUAUUUAAAUGAAUAAUAAACUUGAAAAAGUUUUUUGAAAGUGGAUUUAAAUGUAAUUUUAUUUAAUUUAAUAAAAUGAUUAUAAAUUGAAAUAUGUACAUAUUGCCCGUCGCUUUCAUAUAUUUAUAAAUUGGAAUAAGUCGUAACAAAGUAGAGGUACUGGAAAGUGUUUCUAGAAAGAU
This 778-nucleotide non-coding RNA is filed under the name Vamuna virilis. The record is from RNAcentral. Lineage: Eukaryota; Metazoa; Arthropoda; Insecta; Lepidoptera; Erebidae.